RNAcentral lists this ribosomal RNA (225 nucleotides) under uncultured bacterium. Its description in RNAcentral is "partial 16S ribosomal RNA". It matches the Rfam family "Bacterial small subunit ribosomal RNA", at positions 524 to 747 of the family's 1533-position model. The record is from RNAcentral.
UACGUAGGGUGCGAGCGUUGUCCGGAAUUACUGGGCGUAAAGAGCUCGUAGGUGGUUUGUCGCGUUUGUCCGUGAAAUUCCCUGGCUUAACUGGGGGCGUGCGGGCGAUACGGGCAGACUGGAGUACUGCAGGGGAGACUGGAAUUCCUGGUGUAGCGGUGGAAUGCGCAGAUAUCAGGAGGAACACCGAUGGCGAAGGCAGAUCUCUGGGCCGUAACUGACGCU